RNAcentral lists this ribosomal RNA (352 nucleotides) under Cephalops signatus. Its description in RNAcentral is "partial 12S ribosomal RNA". The record is from RNAcentral. Lineage: Eukaryota; Metazoa; Arthropoda; Insecta; Diptera; Pipunculidae.
AAAAAUUUAAAUAAAAAUAUUAAAGUAGUAAUAGUUAAGUUCUUGAAAUUUAAAAAAUUUGGCGGUAUUUUAGUCUAUUCAGAGGAACCUGUUUUGUAAUCGAUAGUCCACGUUGUACCUUACUUAAAUUUAUUUUUGUUUAUAUAUCGUUGUUUAUAGAAUAUUUUAUAAAAAAAAUAAUUUUCUAAAAUUUUUAUAUAAAAAUAUAUCAGAUCAAGAUGUAGCUUAUAUUUAAGUUUAUAAUGGGUUACAAUAAAUUUAUUUUUGGAUAUAAAAUUUAAAUAUUUUAUUGAAAUUGGAUUUGAUAGUAAAUUUAUAUAGAUAAAUAAAUUGAUUUUAGCUCUAAAAUAUG